Cricetulus griseus (Chinese hamster) is the source of this 114-nucleotide ribosomal RNA. Lineage: Eukaryota; Metazoa; Chordata; Mammalia; Rodentia; Cricetidae. The record is from Ensembl.
GUUUAUGGCCACACCACUCUGAAUGAUCUGGUCUUGUCUGAUCUUGGAAGCUGGGCAGGGUGGGGCCUGCCUCAAUAGUGCUUGACUGUCUGGGGAUAUUGGGUGCUGUUGAAU